Long non-coding RNA from Erigeron canadensis, 1113 nucleotides. RefSeq lists it as uncharacterized. The transcript has 4 exons. NCBI's taxonomy places the organism in Eukaryota, Viridiplantae, Streptophyta, Magnoliopsida, Asterales, Asteraceae. The record is from RefSeq and is a predicted model, not a curated record.
UCUUUUUAAAUUGAAUUUUUUUUUUGUUCUUAUAUAAGAUUUAGUUAUUGUAUUUUAGUGGGUUCUCUUAAUGCCAGAUCGAUAUUUUUUUUUAGUCCUGUAAGUAUGAUUGUGAGUUUCGCUCAAGGUACCAAUUCUGUUGUAAAGUGACGAUGCUCAUAAUUAAUACAAGAUAUAAACACACAUCUUUAGUGCCAUAGGAGAUACUGUUAUUUAAAAAAAAAGAUGUAUGAGUCUUAAAAUGUAGGCCAGUAAAAAUUCUUCUAAGUGAACUGUAAUUUGUAUCAUAAUCCUCAGCAUCAAAAUCAAUGUAAUAUUUUGGUCGUAAUUUUUAGUCAGCUAAGAAAUCAUUAAACAUGAUCAAAUCAUAUGUGUAUGUGUCUAUAUAUAUACACAUAUAUUUGUGUGUAUGGUACAUUGGUACCCGCAUUAUGUGGUGCUGGUGAAUAGUUUUUGACGGUUUUUGAAUUUUUGAUGGUUAUCUAUGUUUCACGACAGUUGCUAGAACGGUGUAAUCGAGGGGGAGAAUGGCUUGAUUUGGGUUGUUCCUAUUUAUUAUUUAAACACAAGUCUGAGAUGUAGGCCAACAAGAAGGUGCUGACAUAGUGAGAUACAGGUCAAUCUAAUCCGGCUUCUUGGCCCGUGACCUAACCUUGUGUACACUUAGAUACCGAACAGGGAGAAAUGGACAUGCCAAAUUCAGGCUGCCUGGUAUAUCAGCUCUACAAUCAGAGAUAAAUGCAAGAAAUGAGCUAGGUCUUGCUACAGAUGAAGGUAUGCAUAUCACAACUUGAUGCUUAAUGAAGUUCAAUUUUGAAAUUAUGUGGUUCUAUAUAGAGACAUAGGGUUACUCAAAUGUAAUUGGAUGUAGUAGUUAGGCUAAUUCCAAGUAUGGUGGAGUUAUUGUGUCCAACAUAUACUAUCAAGCGGACAACCAUGAAAUAGAAAAGUAAACAUUACUUGAAUCGGUAAAAGGUAUUUUGAGUAGAAAUAAUGGAUUGUGAUAUGUAAUUUGGGCUUUUGGUUGUGGGAGUUCGGGCCUAUGGUUUGUGUAAUUUUGACUUUUUCUUAGCGAGCAUAUAAGACUAAGGUUUCUUUCUUAUAAACUUCAUU